Molecule: ribosomal RNA, 503 nt
Filed under: uncultured bacterium
Lineage: Bacteria
Description: partial 16S ribosomal RNA
Rfam family: Bacterial small subunit ribosomal RNA
Source: RNAcentral
AUUGAACGCUGGCGGCAGGCUUAACACAUGCAAGUCGAGCGGGGUGAUGGUGCUUGCACUAUCACUUAGCGGCGGACGGGUGAGUAAUGCUUAGGAAUCUGCCUAUUAGUGGGGGACAACAUCUCGAAAGGGAUGCUAAUACCGCAUACGUCCUACGGGAGAAAGCAGGGGAUCACUUGUGACCUUGCGCUAAUAGAUGAGCCUAAGUCGGAUUAGCUAGUUGGUGGGGUAAAGGCCUACCAAGGCGACGAUCUGUAGCGGGUCUGAGAGGAUGAUCCGCCACACUGGGACUGAGACACGGCCCAGACUCCUACGCGAGGCAGCAGUGGGGAAUAUUGGACAAUGGGGGGAACCCUGAUCCAGCCAUGCCGCGUGUGUGAAGAAGGCCUUAUGGUCGUAAAGCACUUUAAGCGAGGAGGAGGCUCUUUUGGUUAAUACCCAAGAUGAGUGGACGUUACUCGCAGAAUAAGCACCGGCUAACUCCGUGCCAGCCGCCGCCGUAA